Molecule: ribosomal RNA, 425 nt
Filed under: uncultured bacterium
Lineage: Bacteria
Description: bacterial SSU rRNA
Rfam family: Bacterial small subunit ribosomal RNA
Source: RNAcentral
UAGGGAAUCUUGGGCAAUGGGCGAAAGCCUGACCCAGCGAUGCCGCGUGUGUGAAGAAGGCCUUAGGGUUGUAAAGCACUUUCAGCAGUGAAGAAAUGCCGGGAGCUAAUACCUCUUCGGUUUUGACGUUAACUGCAGAAGAAGCACCGGCUAACUCCGUGCCAGCAGCCGCGGUAAUACGGAGGGUGCGAACGUUAAUCGGAAUUACUGGGCGUAAAGCGCGCGUAGGCGGUUUGAUAAGUGGGAUGUGAAAGCCCUGGGCUUAACCUGGGAAUUGCAUUCCAAACUGUCAGGCUAGAGUAUGGUAGAGGGAGGUAGAAUUUCCUGUGUAGCGGUGAAAUGCGUAGAUAUAGGAAGGAAUACCGGUGGCGAAGGCAGCCUCCUGGACCAAUACUGACGCUGAGGUGCGAAAGCGUGGGGAGCAA